UACGUAGGGUGCGAGCGUUAAUCGGAAUUACUGGGCGUAAAGCGUGCGCAGGCGGUUUGUUAAGUCUGAUGUGAAAGCCCCGGGCUCAACCUGGGAAUGGCGAUGAAGACUGCAAGGCUAGAGUUUGGCAGAGGGGGGUAGAAUUCCACGUGUAGCAGUGAAAUGCGUAGAUAUCUGGAGGAACACCGGUGGCGAAGGCGGCAUCCUGGACCAAUUCCGACGCUGAGGAGCGAAAGCCAGGGGAGCAAACGGG
Molecule: ribosomal RNA, 253 nt
Filed under: uncultured prokaryote
Description: partial 16S ribosomal RNA
Rfam family: Bacterial small subunit ribosomal RNA
Source: RNAcentral